AAAUGACAUUAUUAUAAUCUAGUGGACGGAAACAAUUUGGAGACUUCAGUCACAGAGACUGAGAAGAAUUGGUCGAUGAGAGUUGUCAAGAUGAAGUCUUUUAUUCUGUUUCUGGUUAUAGGACUGGUCAAAACUCAAGAUUUUACAGAUUCGAGUGACUCAAACGAUUCAAACAACUUCUCAGAUAUUUCCGGAUCUUCCGAUGAAGCAAUAGGCUUGAGCAGACAAUCUGGUAUUAUGGGUCAAACUGGUGCUUGGACAAUUAUCAGGCCAGAAUCGACUUUAUGGAAUACUGCUAUGAGGAGGAAUACUCCAAGAAAUUCGAGACAAUUUGUCAACUCUUUAUUAAGAAGAUUAUCGUCUAGAACAUCCCAUUUGAAGAAGAGAUCGAGAUUUGAUUCCAUACGUAUCGUGGUAAGACAAACCAGUCCGCCAUUGAGAUCAAUUUUCAAAUAUGUGCCAGUCUAGUCCUAUGCUAACAGAGCUCUACGCUGAACUGAAGUAAAUUCAGUAAUGUGAAUUUUAAAAGCUACUAUAAAAAAAAAAAGUGUGCUUA
Long non-coding RNA from Mytilus californianus (California mussel), 556 nucleotides. RefSeq lists it as uncharacterized. The record is from RefSeq and is a predicted model, not a curated record. The transcript has 3 exons. NCBI's taxonomy places the organism in Eukaryota, Metazoa, Mollusca, Bivalvia, Mytilida, Mytilidae.